UCCCGACGGUCCGAGUCGCAGCCACAAUUAUUGGGUCUAAGACAUUCGUAGCUUGUUUGUUAAGUUUUUUGUGAAAUUCUAGAUCUUAAGUCUAGAGCGUGCAAGAAAUACUGGCAAACUGGAGACCGGAAGAAGCAAAAAGUACGACGGAGGUAGUGGUAAAAUAUGUUAAUCUUCGUCGGACUAACAACAGCGAAGGCAUUUUGCUAGUACGGAUCUGACAGUGAGGAAUGAAGGCUAGGGUCGCGAAACG
This 253-nucleotide ribosomal RNA is filed under the name uncultured archaeon. Its description in RNAcentral is "partial 16S ribosomal RNA". It matches the Rfam family "Archaeal small subunit ribosomal RNA", at positions 474 to 726 of the family's 1478-position model. The record is from RNAcentral.